Molecule: long non-coding RNA, 91 nt
Organism: Sapajus apella (tufted capuchin)
Lineage: Eukaryota; Metazoa; Chordata; Mammalia; Primates; Cebidae
Exons: 2
Source: RefSeq, a predicted model, not a curated record
CAGGAGAACUGCCUGAACCCAGGAGGCGGAGGUUGCAGUGAGCCGAGAUCACACCACUGCAUUCCAGCCUGGUGACAGAGUGAGACUGUCU